Dromaius novaehollandiae (emu) is the source of this 1339-nucleotide long non-coding RNA. RefSeq lists it as uncharacterized. The record is from RefSeq and is a predicted model, not a curated record. Lineage: Eukaryota; Metazoa; Chordata; Aves; Casuariiformes; Dromaiidae. The transcript is spliced from 4 exons.
GGGAGGAAUCAGGCUGCGGCUCCAACGGACGAGUGUAUGGGUUGGACUGCCGCUAGGUAGCCAGCAUGGGACGGGCAGCCCUGGCUUGGGUGGUGGAGUUUUCCUCAGUCCCCGACUUGGAGGAAUUGCGAUGGUGCUGUUCCCCCUUCAGUGGGGGCUGGCAUCUUUGUGUAGGCAUUUACUGCAGUUUUCUUUAGAGCAGAAUUGGCCCGUUCAGAGCGACGAGGCGAAGGAGAGGGAAUACACGCUGCCAGCGUAACACAGUUCUCCACAGUGAAGCCUUUCAAACCAAAUUAUCCGAAUUACCUUUUGGGCCCAGACCCCGAGGACAACCAGGAUCUUCCGUCCGCACUGCCCCCCCCCCAGGCGAGCUGCACAGUUACAUGGGGAAAAGGAACCAUCCAGGGAGACGGAGGAGAGGGGGAACAGCUGGCGGGAAGCGAGCGCGCAGCCAUUUGACAGGAAGGAAGAUCUACCCCGGAGAGCAAUUCCAGAGGAAAUAAACAUCAAAAUGAAUGACUUACAAGAUUGUACCAGCUGGGAUUAGCACAUUCCAUUUCCUGGACUCUUCAUGAGGCUGAGAACUAAAGAAAAUUAAAAUAAAGAUCAGCUAACGAAUGAGAGCAAAGUACAACAACCUGAAGAAAUAUGCAAUUCAUAUUUUAAAGAAGUUUACAACACUGACAAAGGAGUGCAGGAGAACAACAGUUGUCUUUUACAGAAUAUUAGCAUGUAGAAAAGAAAGCAGUGAAUCUACAACAUGUCAAAAUGACUGAAAUGCAGUUCUGUAGCUUGAGAAGAGCCAUUACACAUCAAAACAUCUUGAUUUUGUUCCUAGAAUUUCCACUGACUUGCUGUGUAAAUCAUGAGAGUUCUCUGUGCAUCAGUUUGCAUAUCAGCAGUACUCACUUACACCCCCAAAAAUUUCUCAAGGUAAAUUUAUAAAUAUUUACAGUUCCCAAGUUUGCAGAUUCUGGAGGAUUAUUAUGAUUGCGGUGUUGUUAUCUUUUACCUCUUUUACAGCUUUUUGGAGUUCCUCUCCUCCCCGCCCCCCAAAUCUGCCAGACUUAGAAAAAAUAGAAUUUAGCUUGUAGGCAUCUGAUGUAAACUGCAAUAAUUCAAUGUUUUUGUCAUUAUGACAAUUGCUCAAAAUACCGUAGUUGUUCCUUGUUGCUGCUACGCUCCUGUGGGAGAAGCCGGCAUUCUUAUCCGGAGCAGAUCCUGCUGCACCCUUUAUUACACGAGGACAGUUUAAUGAACUAGUGAGCGCUAAUGAGGCUGAAGCCCAAUUUGUACGCAGCCUAACAGGGCCAUGGGUGUUGGGCUGCUAGUCCAGAAA